RNAcentral lists this non-coding RNA (203 nucleotides) under Clostridiales bacterium. RNAcentral describes it as "6S RNA". It matches the Rfam family "6S / SsrS RNA". Rfam says of the family: E. coli 6S RNA was the first non coding RNA to be sequenced, but its function was unknown until recently. It consists of 184 nucleotides that fold into an extended hairpin structure with a large single-stranded internal bulge. The record is from RNAcentral. RNAcentral also lists the same sequence under 2 other names. Lineage: Bacteria; Bacillati; Bacillota; Clostridia; Eubacteriales.
AAUUACCUGCCCGAUACGCGGACCGUGCAAGAAUAACCCUACACUCAAAUACUCGGGAGCCCGGCUCCACAGACGGACUGCAGACCUCCCGGCGGCGGCUCGACCGCCGUUGGAAGAAGGGAGCGAGAAACCUGUGGGAGGGCACCCACCUGCUUUUACAGUAGCAGGUUAUUGAGAGCACGUUACGGUCGGGCGGGGAUUUU